RNAcentral lists this ribosomal RNA (414 nucleotides) under Triticum aestivum (bread wheat). RNAcentral describes it as "partial small subunit ribosomal RNA". Lineage: Eukaryota; Viridiplantae; Streptophyta; Magnoliopsida; Poales; Poaceae. The record is from RNAcentral.
AUGCAUCCCUCCCCUCGCUGCCAGGCAACCUGGGCGAACAAUAGCGGACGUCAAGUCAGGCCUACUGUCGGCAGGUGCUGUUUGGUGGCUCUGGCGAAGGUGUCAUGUUUUUUCUGUUGUUGCUGGAUCGAACAUGGUGCGACAGUGAUGGGAUGUGAGAUGGUAUGGGUUGUCUUGUCUCUGAUAUCUUCUCAAGAGGUAUCUGGUUAUGCAGGCGUUGGCAGUGGGACAAGCGAUGAUGGUAGAGACGGCUUCAACGACGAGUAUGUGCACUCCGGUGGAAAAACAAAAUCUCGGGUCGACAUGUGCAUGCAUCGUGCCAUUGCUGAAGGUGGUGGGUUGAAACAUGGCUUCGAGGAUGAAAAUACCGAGAUCAACCUUGGGUUGGAAUCGCCAUCAUCGACGCCCAUGUAG